RNAcentral lists this ribosomal RNA (502 nucleotides) under uncultured bacterium. RNAcentral describes it as "bacterial SSU rRNA". It matches the Rfam family "Bacterial small subunit ribosomal RNA", at positions 10 to 507 of the family's 1533-position model. The record is from RNAcentral.
AGUUUGAUCAUGGCUCAGAUUGAACGCUGGCGGAAUGCUUUACACAUGCAAGUCGAGCGGCAGCNCGGGGGCAACCCUGGCGGCGAGCGGCGAACGGGUGAGUAACAUAUCGGAACGUACCCAGUCGUGGGGGAUAACUAUCCGAAAGGAUAGCUAAUACCGCAUACGUCCUGAGGGAGAAAGCGGGGGAUCGCAAGACCUCGCGCGAUUGGAGCGGCCGAUAUCGGAUUAGCUAGUUGGUGGGGUAAAGGCUCACCAAGGCGACGAUCCGUAGCGGGUCUGAGAGGACGACCCGCCACACUGGAACUGAGACACGGUCCAGACUCCUACGGGAGGCAGCAGUGGGGAAUUUUGGACAAUGGGGGCAACCCUGAUCCAGCCAUUCCGCGUGAGUGAAGAAGGCCUUCGGGUUGUAAAGCUCUUUCAGCAGGAACGAAACGGUGGUCCCUAAUACGGACUACUAAUGACGGUACCUGAAGAAGAAGCACCGGCUAACUACGUG